GUGUGCGCUGGCUGCUUUGGCGGUAGAGAAAAUUGAAUCUUGCCGUUGUCCCGCAGUUGGCUCGUCGCCAUCUUGGCAGGCUGUGCAAGUUGGUUGCUCACUCAUCACUGCAAAACACCCGCCGAAUGCGGUACGAAGGCAAGAACGGUGGCACGUGCGUGCCGGAGCCGGAUCCACGGUACGGAGGCCGCUUUCCGUGGCCGUUCACGUGGACGUCGGGCGUCCGGCAGCCGCCCCUGAACCCGGGCGACAUGGCGAACCUGCACGAGCGCAUCAACCACCUGCGGCCGGUCUGGUUCGAAGGGUUCCAGCUGAACGUGACGAAGGGCUGCGGCGUGAACCGGACGCUGGGCGUGAGCUGGAACCUAAGCCACGUGACACCGAGCGGCUUCCGGUUCGGUGGACACUUCCAGCGCCGAUGCAGCGAUAGCGUGCUGACCACCCCACUUGUAGCGUUCGAUGUGAAUCCGACGACGCUCUGCACGAACCUGCUGCUGCUGUACCGGCCGGUCCGGUCGGUCGGACUCGAGCUAGCCCUGCAGCUUCGGCCGGGCGCGAAACCGUACGUGGACGAGGUGUCGCUGCAGUACACCGGGGCGAGCCGGACGUCCACCGUACGGUGCAGUACGCCCGACACCACGCUCGACUCGUACCGGGUCAGCCUGGACCAUCUGGUCAGCCUGAACGAUCGGCUCUGCUUCGGGGUGGAGCUGCUGUGCGAAUGCUACCGGGGCGCUCAGCACACGAGCGUGGCCUUUGCCGGACGUUACAACCGGGAAACGUCCACGCUGGCCGCCACCGUCUCGCCCGAAGCGUUCGAUUUGAGCUACUGGCAAAAAGUGUCCGGCACGCUGCAGCUGGGCUCGUCCAUGAUUGUGAACCAGCGGCAGAACCGGGCGCUCGGCACCGUCUGCUAUCGGCUCGAGCACGAGGACACGGUGAUCCGCGGUUCGUUCGACUCUGAUUGGACCGUCGGCUUCACGUACGGCAGAAAGCUUACGCCGGCCGCAUUCACCGCCCGGUUGAGUUUGUUGUUUUGCGUGCCGAAAAACACGUUCCAGUGUGGAUUUCGGAUUGAUUUGGAUUCUAAUUUGCUGUGAGUGUGCGGGACCGCUGUGCGGCGCCGACCGGUACGCGCCCUUUCCCGGAUCCGCUUGAUUUCGCGCAGCAGGCCACUACGGUCGGCAGCGGUUUGGCGGGGCUUUUGCGUGCGACCUCAAUAAGCGCUCGCGCGCGCGCGAUCGAUACGAACCGCAGAAGGGAAAGCGAAUCAACCUAAAAAACGGAAAAAGCACACAUGUGCUCAGAACAGUUGUGGGUUUCGGGUGACGGAUUGGCGCGGGAGACCGGGGCUGAAGGUGGAAAGCGACAGGUGAGCGCCACAAACAACGCACACACUUUUCAUUUUAUUUGGCCGAUGUUUAGGUGCAAAUGUGGUGAAGUAAUUUGAAGCUGAUUUCAAAUGGAUUUUUGGUGGAAUUGGACGUUUUUGCUGUGCCGGUGGAAUAGCGCGUGAUGAAAUAUUAAUCCCGCAAUGAUGAGGCCCUGCACGCAACUUAUCGAUCAGCGUGUACCACGAUCAUGUGCGAUAAUUGAUUGCAGUUUGUUCCGGCGGGCUGCAUUAGCUACGAUUGAUUAAAAUUGAAUAGAAAUGCAAUCCAAUUUAAGGGUGACAUCACUGGUGGAUGUUUUUUGUCUGUGUGUAUGUGCAUAUGUGUGCCCCAAUCUAUUGAUUUAAUGAACAGUUUUUGUUUCUGCCUUUAUGCGCGUUUUGUUGAAAUAUUUCGUUCACGAGUGCAAUUAAAAGGGUUCCCGCGCUCUAAUUCUCAAUCGAUUAGUGCCAUUUGGGUAACAAAAAAUGGGUAAUGAUGCAUCCAUCAAACGCAUGGUUAGGAGACGAUGAAAUUGACACUCAUCCUCUCGGAUUUGCAAUUGCGAAUUAUGAUAUGAACGGUUGGAUGAAAAUUAACUAUCGACACUGAAAGGUCUCUUCUAUCGGAUCUCGAACCAGUUAUGUUGGUAUUUUACGACGAACAAUGUGCCUCACAGCACUCAUCAACACAUCGCCAGUUGUACGCGAAACCAUGAUUUAUUUUUUAUCAGCUGUGAUUAAUUAAAUAUUUAUCUAAAUGCCGCUAAGCAAUGGA
Molecule: RNA transcript, 2147 nt
Organism: Anopheles merus
Lineage: Eukaryota; Metazoa; Arthropoda; Insecta; Diptera; Culicidae
Gene name: mitochondrial import receptor subunit TOM40 homolog 2
Exons: 5
Source: RefSeq, a predicted model, not a curated record